This 401-nucleotide ribosomal RNA is filed under the name uncultured bacterium. Its description in RNAcentral is "bacterial SSU rRNA". It matches the Rfam family "Bacterial small subunit ribosomal RNA", at positions 356 to 773 of the family's 1533-position model. The record is from RNAcentral.
GGGGAAUAUUGGACAAUGGGCGAAAGCCUGAUCCAGCCAUGCCGCGUGGAUGAUGAAGGCCUUAGGGUUGUAAAGUCCUUUCGACGGGGAAGAUAAUGACGGUACCCGUAGAAUAAGCCCCGGCUAACUUCGUGCCAGCAGCCGCGGUAAUACGAAGGGGGCUAGCGUUGCUCGGAAUCACUGGGCGUAAAGCGCACGUAGGCGGAUUUCUAAGUCGAGGGUGAAAUCCCGGGGCUCAACCCCGGAACUGCCUUCGAUACUGGGAGUCUUUGAGUUCGGGAGAGGUGAGUGGAACUGCGAGUGUAGGGGUGAAAUUCGUAGAUAUUCGCAAGAACACCAGUGGCGAAGGCGGCUCACUGGCCCGAGACUGACGCUGAGGUGCGAAAGCGUGGGGAGCAAAC